Long non-coding RNA from Oxyura jamaicensis (ruddy duck), 670 nucleotides. RefSeq lists it as uncharacterized. The transcript is spliced from 6 exons. NCBI's taxonomy places the organism in Eukaryota, Metazoa, Chordata, Aves, Anseriformes, Anatidae. The record is from RefSeq and is a predicted model, not a curated record.
CCCUUAGAUCACUGAAGGAGUUGUUGUACCAUGUGCUGCGCAUCAUCUAGGAGCAGCAGCAGAGCUGUUGGUGGUGCUCAGGGGUGAUGGGCCCUCCAGGAUCUGCUGGCCAUCAAGGAGCCCAUGGGAAGCACCAGACAACCCUCCCAAGAUGCCAGCACCAUCGGUGUGAGCCUAUAAUACUUCAGAGCUAAAAGAAGCAGCUCUUCCUUUCUGCACAAAUGUUUUCCUGGAGAGUUUCUCAUGGCGGAAGAAAGCAAAACAAGCUGUGCUAGGCGAGUGUCAGCUUGGAAGGAGGAGUCCUCCCCAGAGCAGCUCCCGCCCUGAUGAGGUUCAAGCUGCUCUGGCUCAGGUCGCUGCAGCCUGUGAGAAGAAGCACCCAUGGAGUGCUGCCAUGUUGCAUGUCAUGUAGCAGGACAGCACUGGGCCAGCUUGGGCAAGAGGAAACAGCAGUUUUUCCUAGCUGCAAAUGCAUCCCUGCUUGGUAGAGUGCCUGUGAAUUCAGGAGAGACUCCCUAGUUGACCUUUCACAAGUUUUGUUCUUUGGAGCACAUCACUCACCGGGUAAACUUUGCUGAUGCCCUCUGCAUUACUCAUCCACCCUACCCCACACUGAGGAGUCCCAUGCCACUUUUUGAGGAAUAUCACUUGACUUAUCUAGCUGCACUGG